Molecule: ribosomal RNA, 454 nt
Filed under: uncultured bacterium
Lineage: Bacteria
Description: bacterial SSU rRNA
Rfam family: Bacterial small subunit ribosomal RNA
Source: RNAcentral
ACUCCUACGGGAGGCAGCAGUGGGGAAUAUUGCACAAUGGGCGCAAGCCUGAUGCAGCGACGCCGCGUGGGGGAUGAAGGCCUUCGGGUUGUAAACUCCUUUCGCUAGGGACGAAGCUUUGUUGUGACGGUACCUAGAUAAGAAGCACCGGCUAACUACGUGCCAGCAGCCGCGGUAAUACGUAGGGUGCGAGCGUUGUCCGGAAUUACUGGGCGUAAAGGCUCGUAGGUGGUUUGUCGCGUCGUCUGUGAAAUUCUGGGGCUUAACUCCGGGCGUGCAGGCGAUACGGGCAUAACUUGAGUGCUGUAGGGUAACUGGAAUUCCUGGUGUAGCGGUGAAAUGCGCAGAUAUCAGGAGGAACACCGAUGGCGAAGGCAGGUUACUGGGCAGUUACUGACGCUGAGGAGCGAAAGCAUGGGUAGCGACAGGAUUAGAUACCCUGGUAGACUGUCAU